GAAAUUCACAUUUGAAUAUCUUCCCUUUACAUUUGUUGGCGAACUCUGUGAUGUAGUUGGUCUCUGGAAUUCAAUUGAAAUACCUUCUUUCAAUUAUGAUUUAUUGCUUUCAAUGCCGUCAAUAUCUUCAAUUCAAUUCUGCCUCUUGUUACCAACGAAGAAGGAGACAAGAUCGGAAAAUUUUCUGGCGAUGGUAUUUGGCUGGACGAAGGAAAACCGUCGCCUUUUUCUCUUUAUCAGUUCUUUUUGAAAAUGCCAAAUUCUGAAGUCGAGAAUCUUCUCAAGUCGUUCACGUUGUUCAAGUAGUUUUAUUCCACUGGAAGAAAUUGCAUUUCUCAUGGAACAACACAAAAAAUCACCAGAGAAGAGAAAAGCACAAACGAUUCUAGCUGAAGAUAUGACGCUUCUAGUCCAUUGAGAGGCGGGUCUAAAACAAGCCGAAAAAGUCACAGAAGCGCUCUACAAGGCAAAUGUUGAAGGACUAGGUGAACUGAACUACAACUAAAUCAUAUCGUUAAGAUUUUUCCAGAGCCUGGACUAUCCAUUCUUGAUCUGGCACUAAAAGCUUAAUGUUUUACAACAGAGACUGAUACAAUGAGAAUCAUCACAGCUGGGGGUUCUAUAUCAAGCAAUAGCGAACUCAAAACUUCGCACUAACAUCCACUACCUCAUCACCACAAACAUCAGAUACCAUUUAUAUCUAUUAGUUAAAAAUGUUAAAUGUCUCCUUUUUGUUGGCAAGGAUGAGCAUAUGAAUAAAAACAAUUUGUUUAGCUUAUAUCCAUAUUCAAUUUUACAUUAAUUAAAAGUCAUUAAUAAUAAUAUUGUAUUCUUUUUUGUGAUAAAAAUAAAUAAUUUGAAUCAUUAAAUAUGUAGACUCCCUGGUUUGUCAAUCAU
Long non-coding RNA from Eupeodes corollae, 897 nucleotides. RefSeq lists it as uncharacterized. The record is from RefSeq and is a predicted model, not a curated record. The transcript has 4 exons. Lineage: Eukaryota; Metazoa; Arthropoda; Insecta; Diptera; Syrphidae.